CCCUUAGAUGUCCUGGGCCGCACGCGCGCUACACUGCGUGUCUGAGAUACGAGUCUGCCUGGUCCGGCAAGGUCUAGGUAAUCGCUAAAAGACACAUCAUGCUUGGGAUAGAUUAUUGCAAAUAUUAAUCUUGAACGAGGAAUUCCUAGUAAGCGCAAGUCAACAGCUUGCGUUGAUUACGUCCCUGCCCUUUGUACACACCGCCCGUCGCUACUACUGAUUGGAUGUUUAAGCGAGGUUCUCGAACUGCUAGCGACUUAGCUUCGGUGAGGUCGCAGUGUGGGAAGUGAACCUAGCUUUGGUGUCUAGAGGAAGUAAAAGUCGUAACA
RNAcentral lists this ribosomal RNA (329 nucleotides) under uncultured eukaryote. Its description in RNAcentral is "partial 18S ribosomal RNA". It matches the Rfam family "Eukaryotic small subunit ribosomal RNA", at positions 1470 to 1796 of the family's 1831-position model. The record is from RNAcentral.